AAUAAGAUCAUUUUUCAGUUUUCUAAUACAAUGGUUUGACUGUUCAUCUUAUUUGAAAUUUUUUUGCGAUUAAUAUUUUUAUUCUUACUAGAUGAUAAAACAUGAAUAAUAUUUUAUGUAUGGCUAAUUUUUUAAAGUUUUUUAUAAAUUUUUCAAAUAAGAUAAAUGAUCAAACUUUAGGCACAGAAAA
This 190-nucleotide microRNA precursor is filed under the name Oryza brachyantha (malo sina). RNAcentral describes it as "MIR812 microRNA precursor family". It matches the Rfam family "MIR812 microRNA precursor family". The record is from Rfam by way of RNAcentral. Lineage: Eukaryota; Viridiplantae; Streptophyta; Magnoliopsida; Poales; Poaceae.